GAUGAACGCUGACAGCAUGCUUAACACAUGCAAGUCAACUGUGGCGGACGGGUGAGUAACGCGUAAAGAACUUGCCUCACAGAUAGGGACAACAUUUGGAAACGAAUGCUAAUACCUGACACUGUGAGAGAGCUUUGCGUCCCAUUAGCUAGUUGGAGAGGUAACGGCUCACCAAGGCGAUGAUGGGUAGCCGGCCUGAGAGGGUGAACGGCCACAAGGGGACUGGGACGCGGUCCGUACUCCUACGGGAGGCAUCAGUGAGGAAUAUUGGGCAAUGGACCAAAGUCUGAUCCAGCAAUUCUGUGUGCACGAUGAAGUUUUCGGAAUGUAAAGUGCUUUCAGUAGGGAAGCGGUACCAACAGAAGAAGUGACGGCUAAAUACGUGCCAGCAGCCGCGGUAAUAC
This 404-nucleotide ribosomal RNA is filed under the name uncultured bacterium. Its description in RNAcentral is "partial 16S ribosomal RNA". It matches the Rfam family "Bacterial small subunit ribosomal RNA", at positions 28 to 526 of the family's 1533-position model. The record is from RNAcentral.